Molecule: ribosomal RNA, 804 nt
Filed under: Gibellulopsis serrae
Lineage: Eukaryota; Fungi; Ascomycota; Sordariomycetes; Glomerellales; Plectosphaerellaceae
Description: partial large subunit ribosomal RNA
Rfam family: Eukaryotic large subunit ribosomal RNA
Source: RNAcentral
UGCCUCAGUAACGGCGCAGUGAAGCAAGCAACAGCUCAAAUUUGAAAUCUGGCUCCUUCGGGGCCCGAGUUGUAAUUUGCAGAGGAUGCUUCGGGUACGGGUUCCUUCCGAGUUCCCUGGAACGGGACGCCAUAGAGGGUGAGAGCCCCGUCUGGUAGGACACCCAGCCCGUGUGAAGCUCCCUCGACGAGUCGAGUAGUUUGGGAAUGCUGCUCUAACGGGAGGUAUACUCCUUCCAAGGCUAAAUACCGGCUGGAGACCGAUAGCGCACAAGUAGAGUGAUCGAAAGAUGAAAAGCACUUUGAAAAGAGAGUCAAAUAGCACGUGAAAUUGUUGAAAGGGAAGCGCUCGCUACCAGACAUGGGUUCGGCGGUUCAACCGGGGCCACGCCCCGGGGCACUCCGCCGGCCCAGGCCAGCAUCAGCUUUCCGUCGGGGGCAAAGGCGUCGGGAAUGUGGCUCUCCUUCGGGGGAGUGUUAUAGCCCGGCGUGUCAUACCCUUCGGGGGGCUGAGGUACGCGCUUCUGCAAGGAUGCUGGCGUAAUGGUAGCUAGUGACCCGUCUUGAAACACGGACCAAGGAGUCAACCUUAUGUGCGAGUGCCCGGGCGUAAAACCCCAGCGCGGAAUGAAAGUGAACGUAGGUGAGAGCUUCGGCGCAUCACCGACCGAUCCUGAUGUCCUCGGACGGAUUUGAGUGAGAGCAUAUAGGGUUGGACCCGAAAGAAGAUGAACUAUGCGUGUGUAGGGUGAAGCCAGAGGAAACUCUGGUGGAGGCUCGCAGCGGUUCUGACGUGCAAAUCGAU